CUAAAGUUGGGACUGCUGAAGUGUCAAACCCUUAAUAAACUCAUGCUUUUUGUUUUUUUUAGGAUAUCCCCCAACAGAUUGGUGGUGUAGACUGUGGAGUCUUCAUGUUGAUGUAUGCUCUACAUCUUGUCUUGGGAGCACCCUUUGAUUUUACAUCUUGCGACUUUCCAAACAUACGGAGAUGGUUGGCUCUUAUUCUUCUGGAGAACUUUGGGGUUUUCUCUGAAAGUGCAGAAACCCUACAAGAGUCCCUUCCAUGUGAAGAACAAGCUAUGCUUAGCAGCAGUGAGGUGG
Molecule: long non-coding RNA, 294 nt
Organism: Xyrauchen texanus (razorback sucker)
Lineage: Eukaryota; Metazoa; Chordata; Actinopteri; Cypriniformes; Catostomidae
Exons: 4
Source: RefSeq, a predicted model, not a curated record